UGAGUAACACGUAUGCAAUCCACCUGUAACAGGGGGAUAACCCGGAGAAAUCCGGACUAAUAUCCCAUAAUAUGGGCGCUCCGCAUGGAGAGCCCAUUAAAGAGAGCAAUUUUGGUUACAGACGAGCAUGCGCUCCAUUAGCCAGUUGGCGGGGUAACGGCCCACCAAAGCGACGAUGGAUAGGGGUUCUGAGAGGAAGGUCCCCCACAUUGGAACUGAGACACGGUCCAA
RNAcentral lists this ribosomal RNA (231 nucleotides) under uncultured bacterium. RNAcentral describes it as "partial 16S ribosomal RNA". It matches the Rfam family "Bacterial small subunit ribosomal RNA", at positions 107 to 334 of the family's 1533-position model. The record is from RNAcentral.